CUGGACCGUGAGUCUGGGCUGGGCACGGGAAUGGGCACAGCUGGACGACAGAGUCUGGGCUGGGCACGGGAAUGGGCACAGCUGGACUGUGAGUCUUGGCUGGGCACGGGAGGGGGCACGGCUGGACCGUGAAUCUGGGCUGGGCACAGCUGGACACAGAGUCUGGGCUGGGCACGGGUGGGGGCACGGCUGGACCGUGAGUCUCGGCUGGGCACAGCUGGACACAGAGUCUGGGCUGGGCACGGGAAUGGGCACAGCUGGACACAGAGUCUGGGCUGGGCACGGGAAUGGGCACAGAGUCUUGGCUGGCCAUGGCUGGGCACAGCUGGAUAGGCUCUGUUCAUGGCACAGGAGUGGGCACAGCUGGACACAGAGCCUGGGCUGGGCACAGCUGGACACUGAGCCAAGGGUGGGGACACAGAGUCGGGGUUGGGAAGGGGGUCUGAGCUCAUGGAGGCCCAAGGCCCAGUUUUUCCUGCCAAGGAGUUGCCCCUGGAGCUCCUCCUGCCAGGCCCAAGGGGCAGCAGAGGGCAGGAGCAGGGAAUGGUGCAGUUGGUCUGGUUGGGAACAUGGAGAUCAUGGAGUCCAACCGUCCCCAGCACUGCCAGGGCCACCACUGCCCAUGUCCCCGCGUGCCACAUCCACACAGCUUUGAAAUCCCUCUGGGGGUUGGGGACUCCAGCCUGUGCCAGGCCUGGGGAGCCCUUUCCAGGAGGAAUUUUCCCAAUAUCCAGCCUAAACCUUCCCUGCUGCAACUCGAGGCCAUUUCCUCUCAUCCUGUCCCUCGCUGGGAUUAGAGCCACCCUGGGUCCUUUCCCUGGGGCUGAGGUGACCCUGGGCAGGACCAGGCCCUUGGUUGGUUCAGGUUCUGGAGGUGUCCCUUUUACAGAAUCCCAGGAUUUUGGAUGGGAAUGUCCUUUUCCUGGGCUUGAGGUGACUCAAGGCCCUUGGUUGGAUUGGGUUCUGGAGGUGUCUCUUUACAGAAUCCCAGGAUUUUGGGUGGGAAUGUCCUUGUCCUGGGCUGAGGUGACUCCGGGCCCU
RNAcentral lists this long non-coding RNA (1041 nucleotides) under Serinus canaria (Common canary). RNAcentral's name for it is "lncRNA (ENSSCAG00000007818.1)". Lineage: Eukaryota; Metazoa; Chordata; Aves; Passeriformes; Fringillidae. The record is from RNAcentral.